RNAcentral lists this ribosomal RNA (480 nucleotides) under uncultured bacterium. Its description in RNAcentral is "bacterial SSU rRNA". It matches the Rfam family "Bacterial small subunit ribosomal RNA", at positions 29 to 507 of the family's 1533-position model. The record is from RNAcentral.
AACGAACGCUGGCGGCGUGCCUAACACAUGCAAGUCGAACGAGAAAGCGGGCUUCGGCCCGUUAGUAAAGUGGCAGACGGGUGAGUAACACGUGGGUAACCUGCCUGGAGGUGGGGGAUAACUCCCGGAAACGGGUGCUAAUACCGCAUGAUAUCUCGGGGGCUUCGGCUCGCGAGAUCAAAGCUAGCCUCUACUCGUAAGCUAGCGCCACCGGAGGGGCCCGCGGCCCAUUAGCUUGUUGGUGAGGUAACGGCUCACCAAGGCUACGAUGGGUAGCCGGCCUGAGAGGGCGAUCGGCCACACUGGAACUGAGACACGGUCCAGACUCCUACGGGAGGCAGCAGUGAGGAAUAUUGCGCAAUGGGGGAAACCCUGACGCAGCGACGCCGCGUGGAGGACGAAGGCCUUCGGGUCGUAAAGCGCUUUUCUGAGGGAAGAGCAAGGACGGUACCUCAGGAAUAAGUCUCGGCUAACUAUGUG